This is a non-coding RNA of Podarcis lilfordi (Lilford's wall lizard), 164 nucleotides long. Lineage: Eukaryota; Metazoa; Chordata; Lepidosauria; Squamata; Lacertidae. The record is from the annotation of a GenBank genome assembly.
CACAGCGAUCCCUCUUGCUGUUCUGGCUUCUGAGAUUCAGAAUAUUUUUUUCUUGUUUUCCUCCUCCAAAAACUAGGUGCGUCUUGUGGUCUGGUGUGUCUUAUAGAGCGAAAAAUACGGUAUUCUGAAUCUCAGAAGCCAGAACAGCAAGAGGGAUCGCUGUG